UCUCCCACGGGCAGUUCCGCCGUUGGUGCAAUGAAAGAUCGUGCUCCACAACGGUGCAACCCACGGU
This 67-nucleotide small nucleolar RNA is filed under the name Trypanosoma cruzi. Its description in RNAcentral is "H/ACA snoRNA". Lineage: Eukaryota; Euglenozoa; Kinetoplastea; Trypanosomatida; Trypanosomatidae. The record is from RNAcentral.